Long non-coding RNA from Peromyscus californicus insignis, 347 nucleotides. RefSeq lists it as uncharacterized. NCBI's taxonomy places the organism in Eukaryota, Metazoa, Chordata, Mammalia, Rodentia, Cricetidae. The record is from RefSeq and is a predicted model, not a curated record. The transcript is spliced from 3 exons.
ACCACCUCCUCGUCGUAGCGCCCGAUGAGCCGCUCGAACUCGCGGUAGAUGGAGCCGGCCAGGCCGGACACCCGCUCUGACAUCACGGCCCCGGAGCCGCCGGGCUCCUCCUGGAGAGACUGGGGAUGGGACAGGGAGUGCCGAGGAAGCAAAGGCAGAUGAACUAUGUGGCUCUCGUGAUGCUCAGGCAAUUGCUUUCAUGAGAAGAUCCUGCUGUUUGAUUUGUAGUUUGCCCCUGGAGUCAAAGAUCAAGAUAUGAGCUGCCAGCUACUGCUCCAGCAUCACACCUGCCUGCCUGCUGCUGUGCUCCUCAUAUGAUGGUCAUGGACUCUAACCCUCUGCCGCAG